This 571-nucleotide ribosomal RNA is filed under the name Kroppenstedtia eburnea. RNAcentral's name for it is "bacterial SSU rRNA". It matches the Rfam family "Bacterial small subunit ribosomal RNA", at positions 27 to 506 of the family's 1533-position model. The record is from RNAcentral. Lineage: Bacteria; Bacillati; Bacillota; Bacilli; Caryophanales; Thermoactinomycetaceae.
GGACGAACGCUGGCGGCGUGCCUAAUACAUGCAAGUCGAGCGAUCUGGAGGUUGGAGAUUAGAGGUUAGAAGUUAGACGAAACCAAUCGGCGAAGCCGAUUGGAUGAAUCUGAUUUCCAACUUCCAAUCUCCAACUUCCAGGGAGCGGCGGACGGGUGAGUAACACGUGGGCAACCUGCCCGCAAGACCGGGAUAACUCCGGGAAACCGGGGCUAAUACCGGAUGAUGCCUCUUCCUGCAUGGGAGGAUGCUGAAAGGCGGCCUUUGGCUGUCACUUGCGGAUGGGCCCGCGGCGCAUUAGCUGGUUGGUGAGGUAACGGCUCACCAAGGCGACGAUGCGUAGCCGACCUGAGAGGGUGAYCGGCCACACUGGGACUGAGACACGGCCCAGACUCCUACGGGAGGCAGCAGUAGGGAAUUUUCCGCAAUGGGCGCAAGCCUGACGGAGCAACGCCGCGUGAGUGAGGACGGCUUUCGGGUUGUAAAACUCUGUUCUUCGGGAAGAACGGUCGAAGGGUGAACAAUCCUUUGGCRUGACGGUACCGGAGGAGAAAGCCCCGGCUAACUACGU